RNAcentral lists this long non-coding RNA (528 nucleotides) under Brassica napus (rape). Its description in RNAcentral is "long non-coding RNA (BNAP_LNC004337)". The record is from RNAcentral. Lineage: Eukaryota; Viridiplantae; Streptophyta; Magnoliopsida; Brassicales; Brassicaceae.
UCUAUAUUGAUGAAUCUUUAUGAUAAAAAUUGUCUCCCACCUUCUAGGAUUGUGUCGGGACAAUUGGUUCCAUGGAUUCUUUGGUUGAUUUAGACAGCUCUCAAUAGCGUGGUGUUUAAUGUGAAAAUAAGUGGAGUAGAGGAGGUAUUGUUCAAAAACGUUUGAGCAGCAAGAGAGUGGUUGGGAGGAAAACUGAUGGAAACUCAUUUGACUAGAAGAAUAGAAAUCUUGAGACAAUUGUGCCUAGAUACUACCACGAUCAAAUCAGAUGCGGCCUGGCACAGAGAUUCACAACUUGCAUGUUUAGAUGGACUUUGAAAAAGCAUAGUUCUCAGCUCAAGUUCUCAACAAGCUUCCCAUAUUUCGUACGCCGUUAGUCACAGAGGGAUUGGCACUUUGUGAGGUGGUGGACAAGGCCAAGGAGCUGGGUCAACAACCUUCAAUGAGAAUCAGACUCUCAAUAAAUAAUCAGUUCGAUUAACACAAAUAGUGUAUCCUUGAAAUUGUAUGAUAUUGUGGUGGACAUUA